This 309-nucleotide unclassified non-coding RNA is filed under the name plant metagenome. RNAcentral's name for it is "partial contains 5.8S ribosomal RNA, internal transcribed spacer 2, and large subunit ribosomal RNA". The stretch from base 1 to 106 matches the Rfam family "5.8S ribosomal RNA", at positions 49 to 154 of the family's 154-position model. The record is from RNAcentral.
CGAAAUGCGAUAAGUAGUGUGAAUUGCAGAAUUCAGUGAAUCAUCGAAUCUUUGAACGCACAUUGCGCCCUUUGGUAUUCCAAAGGGCAUGCCUGUUCGAGCGUCAUUUGUACCCUCAAGCUUUGCUUGGUGUUGGGCGUCUUGUCUCUAGCUUUGCUGGAGACUCGCCUUAAAGUAAUUGGCAGCCGGCCUACUGGUUUCGGAGCGCAGCACAAGUCGCACUCUCUAUCAGCAAAGGUCUAGCAUCCAUUAAGCCUUUUUUUCAACUUUUGACCUCGGAUCAGGUAGGGAUACCCGCUGAACUUAAGC